GAAAAGAGCAGUCUUCCCUUUAAAGUGGUUAUAAUCAUAUGCUAAGUUUUUUCAUAGCAUAUCAUUAUUCAAAGGAAAUACAAAC
Molecule: small nucleolar RNA, 85 nt
Filed under: Vicugna pacos (alpaca)
Lineage: Eukaryota; Metazoa; Chordata; Mammalia; Artiodactyla; Camelidae
Description: Small nucleolar RNA SNORA15 (ENSVPAG00000015794.1)
Source: RNAcentral